This 200-nucleotide ribosomal RNA is filed under the name uncultured bacterium. Its description in RNAcentral is "partial 16S ribosomal RNA". It matches the Rfam family "Bacterial small subunit ribosomal RNA", at positions 8 to 213 of the family's 1533-position model. The record is from RNAcentral.
AGAGUUUGAUCCUGGCUCAGGACAAACGCUGGCGGCGUACCUAAGACAUGCAAGUCGAACGGCCCUCCCGAGGGAGGGCAGUGGCGGACGGGUGAGGAACGCGUACGGAACCUACCGCAGGCAGGGGGAUAACCCUGGGAAACCAGGGCUAAGACCGCGUACGCUCGCACGGGGCAGGGCCGUGCGAGGAAAGGGGAGCG